GAUGAACGCUGGCGGCGUGCCUAAUACAUGCAAGUCGAGCGAACAGACGAGGAGCUUGCUCCUUUGACGUUAGCGGCGGACGGGUGAGUAACACGUGUGUACCCUACCUAUAAGACUGGGAUAACUUCGGGAAACCGGAGCUAAUACGGGAUAAUAUUUCGAACCGCAUUGUUCGAUAGUGAAAUAUGGCUUUGCUAUCACUUAUAGAUGGACCUGCGCCGUAUGAGCUAGUUGGUAGGUUUACGGCUUACCACGGCGACUAUUCGUAUCCGACGGGAGAGGGGGAUCGCCCACACUGGAGCUGAGACAGCGUCAAGAGUCCUAAGGGAGGCACCAGACGGGAAUGGUCCGCAAUGGGGGAAAACAUGACGGAGCGGGGCCGCGUGAGAGAUGAAGGUGCUGGGAUCGGAAAACUGGGUUACUGGGUAAGAACAAACGUGGACGUAGCUGUGCACGUCUUGACGGUAAUUAGUCAGAAAGCAACGGCUAACUACGUG
Molecule: ribosomal RNA, 497 nt
Filed under: uncultured bacterium
Lineage: Bacteria
Description: partial 16S ribosomal RNA
Rfam family: Bacterial small subunit ribosomal RNA
Source: RNAcentral